Molecule: non-coding RNA, 21 nt
Filed under: Xenopus tropicalis (tropical clawed frog)
Lineage: Eukaryota; Metazoa; Chordata; Amphibia; Anura; Pipidae
Also listed under: 1 other name
Source: RNAcentral
ACUGCAGUGAAGGCACUUGUA